Molecule: long non-coding RNA, 651 nt
Organism: Humulus lupulus (European hop)
Lineage: Eukaryota; Viridiplantae; Streptophyta; Magnoliopsida; Rosales; Cannabaceae
Exons: 2
Source: RefSeq, a predicted model, not a curated record
UCGUCGUCACCUCCCAAUAAACCCUUGGUCGGACCUCAUCUCUAUAUCAUCGUCAAAUAAUAUCAUUUGUUUCAGAUUGGGGCUUAGGGCUUCAUUUUUUUCUUAGCACACAUAAAGAAAAGAAGGAGGCUCGGCGGGCUACUCCAUUUCAAACCUAGCUAGGCAACGUGGAGGUGCAGGUAUCCAUCUCUGUUGUUCUCCCUCAAUCUCUCACUCCUUCUAACCCUCACUCUCUGCUUGUUGCUGCUUGCAGGUACAGUGGCAUAGUGAAUAAUUGGGUCAAUGGUUGGCGUGGCUCUCAAGUUGUGGGUGCAAGAAAACUAUUUGAUAAAAUAUCUCAAAGACAUAUUGACUUGGAGAUAAAGUAAUAGUUGAGGAAGCAACAAGAUGAAGCUGAGAAAUGGUUUUGAGCUUUGAAUAUGUAAUUGGGAUAUGUAGCUGACACACCUUUGUGAAUAUAUGGAGUAAUUUGAAUAUGUAGUUGAAUAUAAUAUAUGAUAUGUAGCUGACACGGCUUUGUUAAUAUACAGAGUGAUUGCUACUAAUUUAAGAAGUGGUUUUCAGCUUUGAGGUAAAGUGUCUUCAGUCUGUAUUUUUUGUUUUACUGAUAUUACUAUACCUUUCUAAAUCUAAUUAAUAUUACAGAGAGAA